RNAcentral lists this non-coding RNA (958 nucleotides) under Elephantulus sp. VB001. RNAcentral's name for it is "12S rRNA". It matches the Rfam family "Bacterial small subunit ribosomal RNA". Lineage: Eukaryota; Metazoa; Chordata; Mammalia; Macroscelidea; Macroscelididae. The record is from RNAcentral.
CAAAGGUUUGGUCCUGGCCUUAUUAUUAGUUAUCAGUAGGAUUAUACAUGCAAGUAUCCGCUAACCAGUGAAAAUGCCCUUUUACUCGACCCACCUGGGCCGAUCCCCAAGGAGCCGGCAUCAAGCACACGACAGUAGCUCAAAACGCCUUGCUUAGCCACACCCCCACGGGAUACAGCAGUAAUAAAAAUUAAGCAAUAAACGAAAGUUUGACUAAGCCAUACUGAUAGAGGGUUGGUCAAUCUCGUGCCAGCCACCGCGGUCAUACGAUUAACCCAAAUUAAUAACAACCGGCGUAAAGUGUGGUUAAAAAUACGACAUAAAUAAAGUUAAAUUAGCUCUCUGCUGUAAAAAGCUAAAGACCUAAAGAAAAUAGACUACUAAAGUGACUUUACCCAGAUAUGAACCCACGAUAGCUAAGAUACAAACUGGGAUUAGAUACCCCACUAUGCUUAGCCUUAAACCUUGAUAUUUAGUAACAAAAAUAUCCGCCAGAGAACUACAAGCAACCGCUUAAAACUCAAAGGACUUGGCGGUGCUUCACAACCCACUAGAGGAGCCUGUUACAUAAUCGAUAAACCCCGAUAAACCCUACCAUCACUUGCUAAAUCAGUCUAUAUACCGCCAUCUUCAGCAAACCCUUAAAAGGAACUACAGUAAGCUCAAACGUACUCACAAAAACGUUAGGUCAAGGUGUAACCUAUGUGAUGGAGCAUAAUGGGCUACAUUUUCUACGCAAGAACAAUUACGAACUCUAAUAUGAAAUUAUAGGAUAAAGGAGGAUUUAGCAGUAAGCCAGGAAUAGAGAGCCUGACUGAAUCUGGCCAUGAAGCACGCACACACCGCCCGUCACCCUCCUCAAAUGGCUAGAGACAAAAAUUAUAUUUUAACUCAACAUGUCAUAAGAGGAGACAAGUCGUAACAAGGUAAGCAUACUGGAAAGUGUGCUUGGAUUACU